Molecule: long non-coding RNA, 2241 nt
Organism: Bactrocera dorsalis (oriental fruit fly)
Lineage: Eukaryota; Metazoa; Arthropoda; Insecta; Diptera; Tephritidae
Exons: 4
Source: RefSeq, a predicted model, not a curated record
AUAUUGUUGAAAAGACUUGUUUUUUCUCAUUGUCAAGAGUUAGAUCAUUUGACGACCUUAAAGUUUAUGCCAGAAAAGAUGGUGGAGAAGGUCAUUUGGCUAAUGAUGAAAGGGUGAAAAAAUAUUGUUUACACUGAAGUUUUGCGAACUUUGUAAUAUAAAAUUAUUAUUAUACAUUCUUAUCAUUUUAGAUUUAGUUGAAUUUAAAUGAUUUUCAAUAUUUUAAUUUUUUGAUUCGUUCAUUUCCUAAUUUCGUUUCUUUGUUUCUCGCUUUCACACUAUACAAGCGAUUUGAUUUCGUGAUGGCAGCGGAUAGAAGAUUGUUUGACAAUUUAUGACGAGAGCAAGUUGUUGUGGUACGUCGCAUUGUCGAAACUGUGGUUCCAUUAAAGAAUGAACGCGAUCAACUGAAAAUUCAAUUCUAAUCAUUUAAUAAUAAGGAUCAACGCUUAUUGCGCCAGGACGUUCAAUUUCUUCAGAAGAAGGUGCCGUUCUACGAAAUUGCUCAUUCCCAUGCCUAUAACUUUCCUACAUCACGUGAAGAACAAAUGUACGCAGCAGAAGACAAGAAAAUUUCUUUUGCCUGGUUUUCACUAGGUCAUAUUUGACGUCAAAUGUUGUCAAAAUAAUGAAAACGGUUUGUCAUAUGAUGUCCUUUGCGUUUGCCGGCAUAUUUGGCAAAGCAUGGUAAUUUCAAAUGUCAGUCAAAUGAAAAAACAAUGUUCGAUAUGUGGCAAGAUUUGACAACUAAUUUUGAUUUGCCAACAUGUUGGCAAUUAUUUUCGUUUGCCGCACAAACAGGUGUUAAGGAAAUAAAAAGCAAACACGAUUUUUCACAUUUAAACUUUCAAAUAUGGAGGAAGAAAUGAAUUCAGAAAUUCAAACUCCAAUAAUCAAGCGGGUGCGGAAAAUGAAAGCAAAAUGGACAGCGGAAGAGACCGAGCGGCUGAUCCAAGAAGUAGAGUUCAGGGAAGGAACAUGGAAUUUUCUUUCCCAUGAUUACAGAGAUAGAAAUUUGUGAAUUUUAAAUAUGCCACGAUCAGAAGUAGCAGCCAAAUGGAACAGCCUUCGCUACUCUUUUCGCGCGGCCUUCAACCGAAAGGCACAUACAAAAAGUGGUCAAGGUGCUGGAAGAACGCCUACAAUGAACCCACUUUUUAAUUCUUUAAAGUUCCUCGAAGUCGAGCUCGAGAUGAUGAUGAGUAUAUUCAAGUGGUGGAACGUGCACUGGAGACCCUGACAUCAGCUACCAAAAGUGACGCUUGGGAUGGUUUAGGAAAUUUUGUAUCAUCCAAUGGCCGAGAGUGGGCCCAAGAAUCUCCACAACUGGCCAAAAAAUUUAAGCGGGAUAUAAGUUAACACAAUAUUUUAUUCCCACAUUAUAUGCUAGAAACAUAUAAACCGUUUGCAUACUUUGGAGUCCUAUUACAACCAAAAGUGCAACUGCGCUAAACGCGCAUCAGCUAAAUUCUUAAGUGAGCGAAACAAGCGCAACCAUGUUUUCUCCCCCAAAACCAAAUAGCUGCAGGUGAGCGCUACACGCGCAAACCCUUUUAGCUGACCAAGCAUCUUUGGUCACGUAGGCCGGCUCAAGCAUAGGUUAGAUUAUAAGCUUUAAAGUUAAGUGUAGUCAGUUUUAUAAUAAAGCUCAAGAGAAGCACAUAGUGCUGAUUUAUAAACGCAUUGUUUUAUUUUUUAUGUGGCGCCCGAGCAGGGACAUGAGGAAAAAAUAAUAAUAUUUUUUAUACUCGCGGACUAAACUUAAAUAACAUUUCGUACUCGGCCCCUUAGUACCUUUCGGAAAAAGGACGGGCAGUAUCAACCCAGCCGAACGAAAAGCAUAAGCUAAAUACAAAUACAUUGAACAAAAAGUGCGUGACGGGGAAAUUUAGAAUAAAUUAAACAAGUGUAAAAUAAUACAACUAUAAAAGGAAAAAUUUAAAUUAAUUAACCAAAUACAACCAAUACAACAAAUACAACUCCUAGAGGAAAGAUUUAAAUUAAUUUAUCAAAUACAACCAAUACAACAAAUACAACUCCUAGAGGAAAGAUUUAAGUUAAUUCAUCAAUUACAACAAAUACAACUACAAGAAGAAAGAUUUAAAUUAAUUCAUCAAAUACAACCAAUACAACAAAUACAACUACUAGAGGAAAGAUUUAAACUAAUCCAGCAAAUACAACAAAUACAACUACAAGAGGAGAAAUCUAAAUUAAUCACACAAAGGAGGAAACACUAUCAAC